AGUGAACGCUGGCGGUAGGCCUAACACAUGCAAGUUGAACGGCAGCACAGUAAGAGCUUGCUCUUACGGGCGGCGAGUGGCGGACGGGUGAGGAAUACAUCGGAAUCUACUUUUUCGUGGGGGAUAACGUAGGGAAACUUACGCUAAUACCGCAUACGACCUACGGGUGAAAGCAGGGGAUCUUCGGACCUUGCGCGAUUGAAUGAGCCGAUCUCGGAUCAGCUAGUUCGCGGGUUAAAGGCCCACCAAGGCGCCGAUCCGUAGCUGGUCUGAGAGGAUGUACAGCUACUCUUGAACUUGGAGACGUUCCAGACUCGUAUGGGAGGCAGCAGUGGGGAAUAUUUGACAAUGGGCGCAAGCCUGAUCCAGCCAUACCGCGUAAGUGUAGAAGACCUUCGUGUUGUAAAGCCCUUUUGUUGGGAAAGAAUAACAGCAGGUUAAUACCCCGCUGUUCUGACGGUACCCGUAGAAGAAGCACCGGCUACCUUCGU
This 491-nucleotide ribosomal RNA is filed under the name uncultured bacterium. Its description in RNAcentral is "partial 16S ribosomal RNA". It matches the Rfam family "Bacterial small subunit ribosomal RNA", at positions 29 to 506 of the family's 1533-position model. The record is from RNAcentral.